CAGCCGCCACGGUAAUACAGAGGAUGCAAGCGUUAUCCGGAAUGAUUGGGCGUAAAGCGUCUGUAGGUGGCUUUUCAAGUCCGCCGUCAAAUCCCAGGGCUCAACCCUGGACAGGCGGUGGAAACUACCAAGCUGGAGUACGAUAGGGGCAGAGGGAAUUUCCGGUGGAGCGGUGAAAUGCGUUGAGAUCGGAAAGAACACCAACGGCGAAAGCGCUCUGCUGGGCCGACACUGACACUGAGAGACGAAAGCUAUGGGAGCAAAUGGGAUUAGAUACCCCCGUAGUCCCUGUCUCUUAUAC
Molecule: ribosomal RNA, 301 nt
Filed under: uncultured bacterium
Lineage: Bacteria
Description: partial 16S ribosomal RNA
Rfam family: Bacterial small subunit ribosomal RNA
Source: RNAcentral